RNAcentral lists this ribosomal RNA (2891 nucleotides) under Vibrio parahaemolyticus Peru-466. Its description in RNAcentral is "bacterial LSU rRNA". It matches the Rfam family "Bacterial large subunit ribosomal RNA". The record is from RNAcentral. Lineage: Bacteria; Pseudomonadati; Pseudomonadota; Gammaproteobacteria; Vibrionales; Vibrionaceae.
GGUUAAGUGACUAAGCGUACACGGUGGAUGCCUUGGCAGUCAGAGGCGAUGAAAGACGUAGUAACUUGCGAUAAGCCCAGAUUAGGUAGUAACAACCAUUUGAGUCUGGGAUUUCUGAAUGGGGAAACCCACGUGCAUAAGCACGUAUCCUUACCUGAAUACAUAGGGUAAGGAGGCGAACCGGGGGAACUGAAACAUCUAAGUACCCCGAGGAAAAGAAAUCAACCGAGAUUCCGAAAGUAGCGGCGAGCGAAAUUGGACUAGCCCUUAAGCUUUACACGCGUUAGACGAACGGUCUGGAAAGUCCGACGAUACAGGGUGAUAGUCCCGUAGUUGACGACGUGUGUUCAGUGAAAUCGAGUAGGGCGGGACACGUGAUAUCCUGUCUGAAUAUGGGGGGACCAUCCUCCAAGGCUAAAUACUACUGACUGACCGAUAGUGAACCAGUACCGUGAGGGAAAGGCGAAAAGAACCCCUGUGAGGGGAGUGAAAUAGAACCUGAAACCGUGUACGUACAAGCAGUAGGAGCAGGCUUUGUCCUGUGACUGCGUACCUUUUGUAUAAUGGGUCAGCGACUUAUAUUCAGUGGCAAGGUUAACCAUCUAGGGGAGCCGUAGGGAAACCGAGUCUUAACUGGGCGUUCAGUCUCUGGAUAUAGACCCGAAACCAGGUGAUCUAGCCAUGGGCAGGUUGAAGGUUGAGUAACAUCAACUGGAGGACCGAACCGACUAAUGUUGAAAAAUUAGCGGAUGACUUGUGGCUAGGGGUGAAAGGCCAAUCAAACCUGGAGAUAGCUGGUUCUCCCCGAAAGCUAUUUAGGUAGCGCCUCGGACGAAUACUACUGGGGGUAGAGCGCUGUUAAGGCUAGGGGGUCAUCCCGACUUACCAACCCUUUGCAAACUCCGAAUACCAGUAAGUACUAUCCGGGAGACACACGGCGGGUGCUAACGUCCGUCGUGGAGAGGGAAACAACCCAGACCGCCAGCUAAAGUCCCAAAUUACUACUAAGUGGGAAACGAUGUGGGAAAGCUCAGACAGCCAGGAUGUUGGCUUAGAAGCAGCCAUCAUUUAAAGAAAGCGUAAUAGCUCACUGGUCGAGUCGGCCUGCGCGGAAGAUGUAACGGGGCUAAGUAGUAAACCGAAGCUGCGGCAAUGUGCUUUUGCACAUUGGGUAGGGGAGCGUUCUGUAAGCGGUUGAAGGUGUGUGGUAACGCAUGCUGGACGUAUCAGAAGUGCGAAUGCUGACAUGAGUAACGAUAAAGGGGGUGAAAAACCUCCUCGCCGGAAGACCAAGGGUUCCUGUCCAACGUUAAUCGGGGCAGGGUAAGUCGACCCCUAAGGCGAGGCCGAAAGGCGUAGUCGAUGGGAAACGGGUUAAUAUUCCCGUACUUCUUACAAUUGCGAUGGGGGGACGGAGAAGGCUAGGUGGGCCUGGCGACGGUUGUCCAGGUUCAAGUGCGUAGGCUUGAGAGUUAGGUAAAUCCGGCUCUUUUUAAGGCUGAGACACGACGUCGAGCCACUACGGUGGUGAAGUCAUUGAUGCCAUGCUUCCAGGAAAAGCCUCUAAGCUUCAGAUUGUAAGGAAUCGUACCCCAAACCGACACAGGUGGUCGGGUAGAGAAUACCAAGGCGCUUGAGAGAACUCGGGUGAAGGAACUAGGCAAAAUGGUACCGUAACUUCGGGAGAAGGUACGCUCUCGACGGUGAAGUCCCUCGCGGAUGGAGCUAUUGAGAGUCGCAGAUACCAGGUGGCUGCAACUGUUUAUUAAAAACACAGCACUGUGCAAAAUCGUAAGAUGACGUAUACGGUGUGACGCCUGCCCGGUGCCGGAAGGUUAAUUGAUGGGGUUAGACUUCGGUCGAAGCUCUUGAUCGAAGCCCCGGUAAACGGCGGCCGUAACUAUAACGGUCCUAAGGUAGCGAAAUUCCUUGUCGGGUAAGUUCCGACCUGCACGAAUGGCGUAAUGAUGGCCACGCUGUCUCCACCCGAGACUCAGUGAAAUUGAAAUCGCUGUGAAGAUGCAGUGUACCCGCGGCUAGACGGAAAGACCCCGUGAACCUUUACUACAGCUUGGCACUGAACAUUGACCCUACAUGUGUAGGAUAGGUGGGAGGCUUUGAAGCACGUACGCCAGUAUGUGUGGAGCCGUCCUUGAAAUACCACCCUUGUAGUGUUGAUGUUCUAACGUCGACCCCUUAUCGGGGUUGCGGACAGUGCCUGGUGGGUAGUUUGACUGGGGCGGUCUCCUCCCAAAGAGUAACGGAGGAGCACGAAGGUGGGCUAAUCACGGUUGGACAUCGUGAGGUUAGUGCAAUGGCAUAAGCCCGCUUGACUGCGAGAAUGACAAUUCGAGCAGGUGCGAAAGCAGGUCAUAGUGAUCCGGUGGUUCUGAAUGGAAGGGCCAUCGCUCAACGGAUAAAAGGUACUCCGGGGAUAACAGGCUGAUACCGCCCAAGAGUUCAUAUCGACGGCGGUGUUUGGCACCUCGAUGUCGGCUCAUCACAUCCUGGGGCUGAAGUCGGUCCCAAGGGUAUGGCUGUUCGCCAUUUAAAGUGGUACGCGAGCUGGGUUUAGAACGUCGUGAGACAGUUCGGUCCCUAUCUGCCGUGGGCGUUGGAAGAUUGAAGGGGGCUGCUCCUAGUACGAGAGGACCGGAGUGGACGAACCUCUGGUGUUCGGGUUGUGUCGCCAGACGCAUUGCCCGGUAGCUAAGUUCGGAAUCGAUAACCGCUGAAAGCAUCUAAGCGGGAAGCGAGCCCUGAGAUGAGUCUUCCCUGAUACUUUAAGUAUCCUAAAGGGUUGUCGGAGACUACGACGUUGAUAGGUCAGGUGUGUAAGUGCUGUGAGGCAUUGAGCUAACUGAUACUAAUUGCCCGUGAGGCUUAACCAU